CCUGAACGCUGGCGGCGUGGCUAAGACAUGCAAGUCGAACGGAUGUAGCAAUACAUCAGUGGCGGACGGGUGAGUAAUGUAUCGCUAAUGUACCCUUGAGCCAGGGAUAGCUGCCCGAAAGGGCAGGUAAUACCUGAUAAAGUGACCUUGUCGCAUGACAGGGGUUCCCAAAGCCGUAAGGCACUCUUGGAGCAGGCGAUAUCGUAUCAGCUAGUUGGUGAGGUAACGGCUCACCAAGGCGAUGACGCGUAGCUGGUCUGAGAGGACGACCAGCCACAUCGGGACUGAGACACUGCCCGGACUCCUACGGGAGGCUG
Molecule: ribosomal RNA, 317 nt
Filed under: uncultured Planctomycetota bacterium
Lineage: Bacteria; Pseudomonadati; Planctomycetota
Description: bacterial SSU rRNA
Rfam family: Bacterial small subunit ribosomal RNA
Source: RNAcentral